Molecule: long non-coding RNA, 2965 nt
Organism: Leopardus geoffroyi (Geoffroy's cat)
Lineage: Eukaryota; Metazoa; Chordata; Mammalia; Carnivora; Felidae
Exons: 2
Source: RefSeq, a predicted model, not a curated record
CGAGCCCAGUCUGGGAGGGGGCGUGGGGCUGCAUCGGCGGCGACUGGCCGGCACACGCGGCGCAGGUGCAGGACGGAGCGAGCAGGGGACAAGUCCGGCGUGGAAAAGCCACGUUUGAAACGGAUGGCAACAACUUCUGCAGCCGGCGGGACGUGGCCUGGCGUGAACGGCAACCUCUCGGCCUCGCCUCCUCGCCGCCCCCGCGGCGCUCCCCAGGCUCUAAGGCGCCAGCGCGCGGGAGCGCAGGGCCGGCCGAGGAGGCCCGGGGCCGCGCGAGCGGCAGUUUCGCUGGGCCCCACUGGGCCCCGCCCCAGGUCCCAGGCCCCGCCCCCGAGGCCCUCCCUCCUCCUUCCGUGUCGGCCCCGCCCCACUGGUCAGGCUUCAGCUGCGCCAAUGGGAUUUUAUUUUAUUCUUCAAUUUGGCCCGAUCUUAAACCACGUGAGGAGACCGCUGCAUUGUGACCGGGCGGUCACGUGGUUUGUCUCAGCUCGCUAACAGCUCUGGGGAGAUGAGUUUUGCGAAGGAAGAAGGUUAGCUUGUUAACAUACUACUUCCGCAGCCUGUCUGGUGGCAAAAACCAGUGGAGAGCACUAAUGACAGGCACGGAGCCUGCAGAAAAGCGUUAGGUAAUAAGCCUCCGGGAGUGAACGGAUGCACGCGUGAGAAGCGUUGCCUCACACGUCAUGAUGGAGGGGCUGGAUCUUAACCCGGCGCUUAGACACAUUGCGUUUUCUUACGCCCCGGUUUUCGCUCUUGAAAGUUGCUAGGCAAAGCGUUUUCGGUUAUUCUGUUCUGCUCUGCGAUGAGAAAGCUAAAAGAAGAGGAAGAAAAAAAAAAAAAAAAGAUCUAAAGUGAGGAGUGUCGUGGGAGGUCCUGAAAGUUAAGUUCUGCCUGCAGGUGUCUGAAUGUACGCCUUCGCCUUCAGACGAAUAUAGCUGCAGAAAUGGAAGAAAGCCAGCAGUCAGAAGGAUGUGGCGCUCAGCAAGUCUACGGGGACUGGGGCGCGAGAGUCUGGCUCAGAAGCACCCAAGAGCCCUUCACCAGAGUAUUUUGUCAUGGCGAGAGAUGGGAAUGAAGGAAAGAGUCUCCCGAUUCAGACUCUGGUAAGCCUUGCCAAGGAGCUGGACUUCUUUUUGAAUGGGAUUUGGGGUCCCCGGAGGAUGUUAAACUGGGGAGUGACAGACUCAACAUGUGCACCCAGAAGACCUCUCUGGCAGGAAUGUUGGGCGUAAAGGGUAAAGGUAGGAGGUCAGAGAGCAACUGGGAUCUGGGGUCCAAGGUGUGUGCUGGUGAGGCGUCUCCAUGGCAAGAACAGGAGGAAGGAUCACAAAUACCCCGGAGGUAGACUUGCGCAGGCAGGAGAGAGCCACAGUAAGGCUCACGCCCCCUUUUGUAGCUUGGACAAGGCGGUGGCAAGAAAGGGACACAAGCAGGGAAGCGGUUUUCCAGGGAACACGGUUGCAGUCGUGGGGCCCACCGAGUUUGAGCUGUGUCUGCAACACGCUGAUAGAGGUGUCUUCGCUGGCACGGAAAUCCAGACCUGACAUUCAGGAUAGAGUGUCAACAUGUUUCAGGUUAGGUAUUCAUCAGGUCAGUUUCAGUUUGCGGGACACCCGGGAAGCUGCCUAGUGACCUUGAAAUCACAGUGGCCAGAGGCACUGGGAUCAGCACCGUUGCCUGACCCACGUGUUCCUCCCUGGCCAUUGAACUGGGUUUCCUUUGCCCCCACUAGGGGGCCAUCCCACAACCAAUGUCAGCCAGCAGUUAGUUUAUGGGACAGUCACAGGGGACGCUAGGUAUGGCACAGUGUCCUGGCUGCUGUGGCAUUUACAGAAACACUAGAGAUAGAUGUAGCCCCUCUCAAAAAAAAAAAAAAAAAAAAAAAAAAGGGAUUCAAAAGCCGCUAUCAAUGAGAUACAGAGAUUGUGUACACCUUCAUCCUCGUGUGUGUGCGCGCGCGUGUGUGUGCACGUGUGCCUGGGGUUACCUCUUCUGAGUGCCCCCAUCUUCUAUGUUCAUCAGGGCGCUGCCCAUAUCACAGAAAAACCUCUCUUCUUCAGACCCUGACACUUCUGGGACACGUUUCUGCGAUGGCCUUUAGUAACCUAGAAAUGCUUUUCCCGCGUCUGCCUUCCCCAGAGGAUGGAUUGCUUCAGUUAGGCCCCUGAGGUCUCUCUGGAGGAGCAGAGAGGGCCCCAGAGGAUCUAGUUUUCCGGCUGCCCUGCCGCCACCAGCCAUCGACCCGCAGAGAGGCCUGCUGCUUCACUCUGGAGAGCAGAAGGGGUGCGUAAAAGCAGGGCAGAGAGAAGGCCCUUGGUUCAGAAUCAGAGCUGCCCCUUCAUACCUCCACUUUUAGAAGCUCUUAUCUUCAAGGAUGCCUAUGACACAGUGGCCCUGCCCUCACGUCCUCCUCUGACGCCGGUCCCAACCCGGCCGUGUCUGCCAUGCUGCAGUUUUGAUCUCCUCGACCCAGAAAGCCCCUUCUCUUGGCUCGCUGGACACCAGCCCCGGCGGCUUCGGUCCUGCCCCGCUGGGCCGUCUGAGCACCGAGGUGGUCUCGUACGUUUGAAUUUUCGGCUGAGCCUCCCGAGGCAGCAAUCACGUCCUAGGCACCCUGUGUUUCCCAGGGCCUACCGUUUGUUCACAGAUCCCACUGCUGCUGUGGCCUAGCCCCGCCUCUCAGACUGUUCUCUUUCCUCCUGCUGCUCUCAUUGGCCGUCCUCCCCCAGAGCCUGGGACAUGCUGGCAACCCCCUCCAAUGUGUCCAUGUCACCAGCCCUCCCCCACCUUCUGCUGGCGGGGUAGUCGGGGGAGGUGCCUAGGGCCUGGGCUGGAUAGUAACUUCUUCAGGGCCACCCCUGACACUUCCCCACUGUAGAAGUUCAACUCAUUUACUCACCCCCCCACCCCUUUUCCUGACUUGAUUUCCACUGACACGUCAUUAAAGAACUCAUUUCUUAUUGAA